RNAcentral lists this ribosomal RNA (425 nucleotides) under uncultured bacterium. RNAcentral's name for it is "bacterial SSU rRNA". It matches the Rfam family "Bacterial small subunit ribosomal RNA", at positions 354 to 796 of the family's 1533-position model. The record is from RNAcentral.
GUGGGGAAUCUUGCGCAAUGGGCGAAAGCCUGACGCAGCCAUGCCGCGUGAAUGAUGAAGGUCUUAGGAUUGUAAAAUUCUUUCACCGGGGACGAUAAUGACGGUACCCGGAGAAGAAGCCCCGGCUAACUUCGUGCCAGCAGCCGCGGUAAUACGAAGGGGGCUAGCGUUGCUCGGAAUUACUGGGCGUAAAGGGCGCGUAGGCGGACAGUUUAGUCAGAGGAGAAAGCCCAGGGCUCAACCUUGGAAUUGCCUUUGAUACUGGCUGUCUUGAGUACGGGAGAGGUGAGUGGAACUCCGAGUGUAGAGGUGAAAUUCGUAGAUAUUCGGAAGAACACCAGUGGCGAAGGUGACUCACUGGCCCGUUACUGACGCUGAGGCGCGAAAGCGUGGGGAGCAAACAGGAUUAGAUACCCUGGUAGUCC